GAUGAAGAACGCGGCGAAAUGCGAUAAGUAAUGUGAAUUGCAGAAUUCAGUGAAUCAUCGAAUCUUUGAACGCACAUUGCGCCCGCCAGUAUUCUGGCGGGCAUGCCUGUUCGAGCGUCAUUACAACCCUCAGGCCCCCGGGCCUGGCGUUGGGGAUCGGCGGAAGCCCCCUGCGGGCACAACGCCGUCCCCCAAAUACAGUGGCGGUCCCGCCGCAGCUUCCAUUGCGUAGUAGCUAACACCUCGCAACUGGAGAGCGGCGCGGCCACGCCGUAAAACACCCAACUUCUGAAUGUUGACCUCGAAUCAGGUAGGAAUACCCGCUGAACUUAAGCAUAUCAAUAAGCGGAGGA
RNAcentral lists this unclassified non-coding RNA (353 nucleotides) under soil metagenome. Its description in RNAcentral is "partial contains 5.8S ribosomal RNA, internal transcribed spacer 2, and large subunit ribosomal RNA". The stretch from base 1 to 120 matches the Rfam family "5.8S ribosomal RNA", at positions 35 to 154 of the family's 154-position model. The record is from RNAcentral.